GAAACUCGCCUAUAUGAAGUCGGAAUUGCUAGUAAUCGCGGAUCAGCAUGCCGCGGUGAAUACGUUCCCGGGCCUUGUACACACCGCCCGUCACACCAUGAGAGUCGAUAACAUCCGAAGCCUGUAGUCUAACAGCAAUGAGGACGCAGUCGAAGGUGGGAUUGAUAAUUAGGGUGAAGUCGUAACAAGGUAAC
This 194-nucleotide ribosomal RNA is filed under the name uncultured bacterium. RNAcentral describes it as "partial 16S ribosomal RNA". It matches the Rfam family "Bacterial small subunit ribosomal RNA", at positions 1307 to 1500 of the family's 1533-position model. The record is from RNAcentral.